AUACGUAGGGGGCAAGCGUUAUCCGGAUUUACUGGGCGUAAAGGGAGCGUAGACGGAAGGCCAAGUCUGAUGUGAAAGCCCGCGGCUCAACUGCGGGACUGCAUUGGAAACUGGUCAUCUGGAGUGCAGGAGGGGUAAGCGGAAUUCCUAGUGUAGAGGUGAAAUGCGUAGAUAUUAGGAGGAACACCGGUGGCGAAGGCGGCUUACUGGACUUUAGCUGACGUUGAGGCUCGAAAGCGUGGGGAGCAAACAGGAUUAGAUUCCCUGGUAGUCCACGCCGUAAACGAUGAAUACUAGGUGUCGGGUUUCUAUAGAGAUUCGGUGCCGCAGCAAACGCAAUAAGUAUUCCACCUGGGGAGUACGUUCGCAAGAAUGAAACUCAAAGGAAUUGACGGGG
RNAcentral lists this ribosomal RNA (397 nucleotides) under uncultured bacterium. RNAcentral describes it as "partial 16S ribosomal RNA". It matches the Rfam family "Bacterial small subunit ribosomal RNA", at positions 523 to 918 of the family's 1533-position model. The record is from RNAcentral.